AUAGUUUGAUUCUAGCUAUCAUAUUAUUUACCUUAUACAAGUACAUGAAACUUAAGGCCCCCUAACAAUAAAUACUAAAAGAUAGUUGUGCCUCAGUACAUAAUUCUAUAAAAAUCAUAAUAUGAGUAAUGGUAAUAAAGUAAUAGCCGGCAAAAUUCGUGCCAGCCGCCGCGGUUAGACGAUAGGCUAAAAUAAUAUACUAAGGCUGCUUGAUAAUAAAAGAUAAAUUAAAAAAUCAAAGAGGUUCAAUUCACAAUUUUAGUCUCAUAUUUAUCUAUAAACAAAUCAUAAAACCAUAAAUAAAAACAAGGAUUAGAUACCCUUCUAUUUAUGACCUACUAAAAGCCGGAUGAUACGAACAACUGUUUAAAAUCCAAAGAACUUGGCGGUAUCUUAUAAAAUCAGGGGAACCUGUCACUUAAUUCGAUAUUCCACGAACAUCCAUACCUUUUUUGAAUUACAGCCUGUGUACUGCUGUCGUCAGUAAACCUCUAAAAGUGUUUACAACAAUAUUUUUUAUUUACGUCAAGUCAAAGUGCAGCUUAUAAAAAGGAGUAGAUGGGUUACAAUCUAUAAAAAGAUACGAAAAUAAAUUUAAUAAUUUAUGGAAGGUGGACUUGACAGUAAUGACAUAAAAUCAUGAAAAUUAAUCUAAGAUAUGUACACAUCGCCCGUCACUCUCGUCUAAAGAUGAGAAAAGUCGUAACAAAGUAGACAUAACGGAAGUUGUGUCUGU
This 736-nucleotide non-coding RNA is filed under the name Mesenchytraeus cf. pedatus SL-2017. The record is from RNAcentral. Lineage: Eukaryota; Metazoa; Annelida; Clitellata; Enchytraeida; Enchytraeidae.